GACGUAGGGCGCGAGCGUUGUCCGGAUUUAUUGGGUUUAAAGGGUGCGUAGGCGGCAUUUUAAGUCAGUGGUGAAAUACUUCAGCUUAACUGGGGAGGUGCCAUUGAUACUGGGAUGCUUGAGUACUGAUGAGGUAGGCGGAAUGGACGGUGUAGCGGUGAAAUGCUUAGAUAUCGUCCAGAACACCGAUAGCGAAGGCAGCUUACUAAGGAGUAACUGACGCUGAGGCACGAAAGUGUGGGGAUCAAACAGG
RNAcentral lists this ribosomal RNA (253 nucleotides) under uncultured bacterium. Its description in RNAcentral is "partial 16S ribosomal RNA". It matches the Rfam family "Bacterial small subunit ribosomal RNA", at positions 524 to 776 of the family's 1533-position model. The record is from RNAcentral.